Molecule: long non-coding RNA, 2621 nt
Filed under: Salmo salar (Atlantic salmon)
Lineage: Eukaryota; Metazoa; Chordata; Actinopteri; Salmoniformes; Salmonidae
Description: lncRNA (ENSSSAG00000116960.1)
Source: RNAcentral
UUUUUAUUUAUUAAAGAGUAAAUGAGAAUAAAUAUUAAUUGACACUAGAUAUGUUUUCAAAAAUGUUGUUCAUAAACAGGAUGUACUUAUAGGGCUCUGAUUGGUUUUGAAGGGUGACAUGAUGCUCCUUCACACCAUCAAACGGUAGCACCGGCCCUCCCCUAUGAAGUAAAGGGCAAGGGGAGACACUGGAGAAUAGACAGAGACAGAGACACUGGAGAAUAGAGAGAGACGGAGAGGGGAGACACUGGAGAAUAGAGAGAGACGGAGAGACACUGGAGAAUAGAGAGAGAGGGGAGACACUGGAGAAUAGAGAGAGAGGGGAGACACUGGAGAAUAGAGAGAGACGGAGACACUGGAGAAUAGAGAGAGAGAGACGAGACACUGGAGAAUAGAGAGAGAGGGAGACACUGGAGAAUAGAGAGAGAGGGAGACACUGGAGAAUAGAGAGAGAGGGAGACACUGGAGAAUAGAGAGAGAGGGAGGUGAGACACUGGAGAAUAGAGAGAGAGGGAGACACUGGAGAAUAGAGAGAGAGGGAGACACUGGAGAAUAGAGAGAGAGGGGAGACACUGGAGAAUAGAGAGAGAGAGGGGAGACACUGGAGAAUAGAGAGAGAGGGAGACACUGGAGAAUAGAGAGAGAGGGAGGUGAGACACUGGAGAAUAGAGAGAGAGAUGGAGAAACUGGAGAAUAGUGAGAGAGAGGAGACACUGGAGAAUAGAGAGAGAGAGGAGACACUGGAGAAUAGAGAGAGAGAGGAGACACUGGAGAAUAGAGAGAGAGGGGAGACACUGGAGAAUAGAGAGAGAGGGAGACACUGGAGAAUAGAGAGAGAGAGGAGACACUGGAGAAUAGAGAGAGAGGGAGACACUGGAGAAUAGAGAGAGAGGGAGGUGAGACACUGGAGAAUAGAGAGAGAGGGAGACACUGGAGAAUAGAGAGAGAGAGGAGACACUGGAGAAUAGAGAGAGAGGGAGACACUGGAGAAUGGAGAGAGAGAUGGAGAAACUGGAGAAUAGAGAGAGAGGAGACACUGGAUAAUAGAGAGAGAGGGGAGACACUGGAGAAUAGAGAGAGAGGGAGGUGAGACACUGGAGAAUAGAGAGAGAGGGAUACACUGAAGAAUAGAGAGAGAGGGAGGUGAGACACUGGAGAAUAGAGAGAGAGGGAGACACUGGAGAAUAGAGAGAGAGGGGAGACACUGGAGAAUAGAGAGAGGGGGAGACACUGGAGAAUAGAGAGAGAGGGAGGUGAGACACUGGAGAAUAGAGAGAGAGGGAGACACUGGAGAAUAGAGAGAGAGGGAGACACUGGAGAAUAGAGAGAGAGAGGAGACACUGGAGAAUAGAGAGAGAGAGGAGACACUGGAGAAUAGAGAGAGAGGGAGGUGAGACACUGGAGAAUAGAGAGAGAGGGAUACACUGAAGAAUAGAGAGAGAGGGAGGUGAGACACUGGAGAAUAGAGAGAGAGGGAGACACUGGAGAAUAGAGAGAGAGGGGAGACACUGGAGAAUAGAGAGAGGGGGAAACACUGGAGAAUAGAGAGAGAGGGAGGUGAGACACUGGAGAAUAGAGAGAGAGGGAGGUGAGACACUGGAGAAUAGAGAGAGAGGGAGACACUGGAGAAUAGAGAGAGAGGGAGACACUGGAGAAUAGAGAGAGAGGAGACACUGGAGAAUAGAGAGAGAGAGGAGACACUGGAGAAUAGAGAGAGAGAGGAGACACUGGAGAAUAGAGAGAGAGAGAGAGGAGACACUGGAGAAUAGAGAGAGAGACACUGGAGAAUAGAGAGCGAGGGAGACACUGGAGAAUAGAGAGAGAGGGAGGUGAGACACUGGAGAAUAGAGAGAGAGGGAGGUGAGACACUGGAGAAUAGAGAGAGAGGGAGACACUGGAGAAUAGAGAGAGAGGGAGACACUGGAGAAUAGAGAGAGAGGAGACACUGGAGAAUAGAGAGAGAGAGGAGACACUGGAGAAUAGAGAGAGAGAGGAGACACUGGAGAAUAGAGAGAGAGAGAGAGGAGACACUGGAGAAUAGAGAGAGAGAGAGAGGAGACACUGGAGAAUAGAGAGCGAGGGAGACACUGGAGAAUAGAGAGAGAGGGGAGACACUGGAGAAUAGAGAGAGAGGGAGGUGAGACACUGGAGAAUAGAGAGAGAGGGAUACACUGAAGAAUAGAGAGAGAGGGAGGUGAGACACUGGAGAAUAGAGAGAGGGAGACACUGGAGAAUAGAGAGAGAGGGGAGACACUGGAGAAUAGAGAGAGAGGGAGACACUGGAGAAUAGAGAGAGAGAGAGAGGAGACACUGGAGAAUAGAGAGAGAGACACUGGAGAAUAGAGAGAGAGGGAGACACUGGAGAAUAGAGAGAGAGAUGGAGAAACUGGAGAAUAGAGAGAGAGAGGAGACACUGGAGAAUAGAGAGAGAGGGGAGACACUGGAGAAUAGAGAGAGACGGAGACACUGGAGAAUAGAGAUUAGGGGGCUCCCUGACAGUGAACUUGUGUUUGGAAUCGGAUCCCAGCCAAGGUCCUCCAAUAAAGCAUGAUUGGAUGCAUAAUGUCAUAAUCAUACACUAUAUAUACUGCUCAAAAAAAUAAAGGGAACACUUAAACAAC